Molecule: ribosomal RNA, 492 nt
Filed under: uncultured bacterium
Lineage: Bacteria
Description: partial 16S ribosomal RNA
Rfam family: Bacterial small subunit ribosomal RNA
Source: RNAcentral
AGUGAACGCUGGCGGUAGGCCUAACACAUGCAAGUCGAACGGCAGCACAGUAAGAGCUUGCUCUUACGGGUGGCGAGUGGCGGACGGGUGAGGAAUACAUCGGAAUCUACUUUUUCGUGGGGGAUAACGUAGGGAAACUUACGCUAAUACCGCAUACGACCUACGGGUGAAAGCAGGGGAUCUUCGGACCUUGCGCGAUUGAAUGAGCCGAUGUCGGAUUAGCUAGUUGGCGGGGUAAAGGCCCACCAAGGCGACGAUCCGUAGCUGGUCUGAGAGGAUGAUAAGCAAAACUGGAACUGAGACACGGUCCAGAAUCCUACGGGAGGCAGCAGUGGGGAAUAUUGGACAAUGGGCGCAAGCCUGAUCCAGCCAUACCGCGUGGGUGAAGAAGGCCUUCGGGUUGUAAAGCCCUUUUGUUGGGAAAGAAAAGCAGCAGGUUAAUACCCCGCUGUUCUGACGGUACCCAAAGAAUAAGCACCGGCUAACUUCGUG